RNAcentral lists this ribosomal RNA (493 nucleotides) under uncultured bacterium. Its description in RNAcentral is "bacterial SSU rRNA". It matches the Rfam family "Bacterial small subunit ribosomal RNA", at positions 28 to 507 of the family's 1533-position model. The record is from RNAcentral.
GACGAACGCUGGCGGCGCGCUUAACACAUGCAAGUCGAGCGAGAACCGGGACUUCGGUCCCGGGGACAGCGGCGAACGGGUGAGUAACACGUGGGUAAUCUGCCCUCGAUUCUGGGAUAGCCCGGGGAAACCCGGAUUAAUACCGGAUAGCCUUUCGAGCCUUCGGGCGCGAAAGAAAAGGUAGCUUCGGCCUCCGAUCGAGGAUGAGCCCGCGGUGGAUUAGCUUGUUGGCGGGGUAAUGGCCCACCAAGGCGACGAUCCAUAGCUGGUCUGAGAGGACGAUCAGCCACACUGGGACUGAGACACGGCCCAGACUCCUACGGGAGGCAGCAGUGGGGAAUAUUGGACAAUGGGGGCAACCCUGAUCCAGCAAUGCCGCGUGUGUGAAGAAGGCCUGCGGGUUGUAAAGCACUUUCAGUCGGGAGGAGGAAUUGGCUGUUAAUAGCGGCCGAGGAAGACGUAACCGACAGAAGAAGCACCGGCUAACUCCGUG